UUAAGAUCAUAGAAAUUACAUUAAAUAUGUGUAUAUAGAAUGUUAUAGAAUUCUAUAGAAACUAGUUCCUCUAUAAAACAAUUUUAUAGAAUAUAAUUUCUAUAGAAAUUGAUUAAUCUCUAUAGAAGGUCUAUAUAGUUCUAUAGAUUUUUUCUGUAAGUGUACUUUCUAAGCCUUUGAAAAAUCUAAAUUGUCAUAUUUUUGGGAGAUUUUCCCUGCUUCCCUAUUCUGCUGAAAUAAUUAAAAAAAAAUUAUAUUAUGAAAGUCCUGGCAGUAUAAUUAACAUUACAUAGCCAAAGUCUAGGCCUAUACUAAAUCAUGGUGUAUAAUAAAACAUACAACUUUAAAACACAAGUUUAACCAUUGAGGAAAAAAACAAGCUAACAAUAACAGGUGUUGUCAUUUAAUCUGUUCAGCCAACCACAGAUAAUCUCAAAUUACUUAAUUUGAUUGGUCACUUUAUCCAUGUUUAUCACUGAAGGCCAUGGAAAUUAACAAAGGUGCUUUUGAAUGUUAUCAGUUAACUGAAAUUUGUUAGUGGUUUUAGAGCUCUUUUUCAGUGCACAUUUAUGAUGAUGAAACAGGCAGUUUAACCGUAUUUUCUGAAGUAUUUCAGCAGUACUAAUAGAAUUUGUUGGUAAAGGAUUUUUUUUUCUUUAAGUGAAAACUCAUGAAAUAAGAAGGUGUUAAUGUUUGUUUAAAGCAUUAUUGCGGCAGUCGGAGAAAGGAAAUUACCUGACUUUCAAAGCAUGUGAAGCAAGGGUGAAAAUCUGAAGCCAUCAUGAUUCAAUAUUUCAAAACUAGUUUGGUCACUCUGCAGAAUUCACAACGGCAUCUUUCAGCAAGAUUUCCAAUUUGCUUAGCUACCAUUGGACAAGAAAAAGCACGGAUAUAGACAGCUCAUACAGAAAAUUGCUGGUUUAUACACAACUGUAACGCGACAGAUUUUUGAACAGGGUUUUGUAUAGUAAACUCUAGUUGAGGCUUUAAAUUACAGAAAAAAAAAAUCUGAUUUGAAGACUGUAAAGCAUUUAGGUAACGCUGGAAUUUGAAGUAUGUGCAUCAGUAAGGCUUAAGACGAACAAUAUUAUGUGAAGGGGUAUGCAAGUUAUCGAGACCCUAGGGAUUAAUAUCCCUACCCCAUGAUGCAUACAGUAGUUGAUGUUUUUAAUUAAAGAAAUCAUGGUUUGUA
Anneissia japonica is the source of this 1192-nucleotide long non-coding RNA. RefSeq lists it as uncharacterized. NCBI's taxonomy places the organism in Eukaryota, Metazoa, Echinodermata, Crinoidea, Comatulida, Comatulidae. The record is from RefSeq and is a predicted model, not a curated record. The transcript is spliced from 3 exons.